Molecule: RNA transcript, 1456 nt
Organism: Panicum virgatum (switchgrass)
Lineage: Eukaryota; Viridiplantae; Streptophyta; Magnoliopsida; Poales; Poaceae
Gene name: probable cytokinin riboside 5'-monophosphate phosphoribohydrolase LOGL7
Exons: 7
Source: RefSeq, a predicted model, not a curated record
UUACAUCACCGCCUUAAUACCGCGCGCCAUCACUUGGGAGCUCUGCCGGAAAGGGAGGGGCGCUGGGGAUAACGCACGCGCAGCCAAACACGGCACCACCGAGCCAGCGAGCGAGCACCUGCGGGCGCCCACGAGCUGAGCGAGUUCUUCCUCCCCAGCGCAGCACGGCUAGCUAGCUAGCUGCGUGGCCGGUCGACAUGGGCGACGGAGCGGCCGCCGUGCCUUGCAGGUUCCGCACGAUCUGCGUCUUCUGCGGCAGCAGCGCCGGACACCGGAAGGUGUUCGCGGAUGCCGCGCUCGAGCUCGGCCACGAGCUGGUGCGGAGGGGCAUCAGCCUGGUCUACGGCGGCGGCAGCAUCGGGCUGAUGGGCGUGAUUGCGCGGACGGUUCGCGACGGCGGCUACCAUGUCCUUGGGGUGAUUCCUAAAGCGCUCAUGCCUAUUGAGAUUUCAGGUGAAAGUGUAGGAGAAGUGAAGGUUGUAGCCGACAUGCAUCAGAGGAAGGCUGAGAUGGCUCGCCAAUCUGAAGCGUUCAUCGCUCUCCCAGGUGGGUAUGGAACAAUGGAGGAGUUGUUGGAGAUGAUAACUUGGUGCCAACUUGGAAUUCAUGACAAACCAGUUGGCUUGCUGAAUGUCGAUGGUUACUACGACCCGCCUCUCUCUCUCUCUCUCUCUCUCUCUCUCUCUCUCUCUCUCUCUCUCUCUCUCUCUCUCUCUCUCUCUCAAUACAUCAGCAGCAAGCUCUUUUCAAACGAAUUAAGGCGUCCUACAGGUCGGCUUGCUGAAUGUCGAUGGUUACUACGACCCGCUGAUUGCUCUGUUUGAAAAGGGGGCAACGGAGGGUUUCAUCAACCCUGACUGCAGGCAAAUAUUUGUUUCUGCACCAACCGCAAGCGAGCUGCUGACAAAGAUGGAGCAAUACACCCGGUUGCACCAGGAGGUAGCCCCGGCAACGAGCUGGGAGAUCUCGGAGCUCGGCUACGGGAAAGGCGGCGCACCGGCAGAAGACUCGUAGAACUCCCAUCACCUGAAGCUGAAGCGAAGCUCUGCCCACUGACGCUGCAUUUGUUUUCCCCGCUAUUUCCUCAAGUCUCCAAACCACUCAACUAGGUAUCGGCGCGAGCUCGGGGCGGUUUCUUGUCCGGAUCCAUCAGGAAAUCGCCCCCCUCCUCGUGUUCUCGCCACUCGCAGUUUGAAGUUUGAUUGCUCGGUUCUGUAAGCUGCCGCGCCUCUUUCGGGGUGUGGCGUGUAUGUGUGUGUGGUCACUGUGGAAACAGAAUCUGCCCGGGCCGGGGCAGCAGCACGGAAGCGGCAGCCCUGCCCCGACGACGUCACAGGUGAGCGGCCGACUGAUUGGGCCUGCGUGUACUCAUUGCCGGAGCCUUCUUUUGGUUAAAAAACGGUGGUGAUGUGAGAUGGAUAGAUGGAUCAAAUGGAUGGGUUCAUGAUUCGUGCUC